AUCGUGUUGCAUCCAAUGAGGCUUACUCCGUGGUCAGUGUGCUUAAGACUUCAGCAGUUAACUGCUGAAAAGGGUUACAAUUUAAACUCUAUCUAGGGCCCACAGCAGGGUGACUUAGAAAAACAGAACUGUAGACCUGGAAGGGACCUCAAACGUCACUUGGAGGCAAAGGGGACAAGGUGGAAAAAGGAAUUUCAGAAGAUGCAUCUCUUUAUCCUGCCCUUUUGACACCUGAGAUAUAUAUUUUAGGACUCACCCAUCUGAUUCUCUUGCCUCUAGAUCUGCUAUUUUCUGUGCACAUACAUGGGCAAAUGUACUAAGAUGCUGUAAGGACUUCUUUGAAUGCUUGCACAAGAAUAAAAGGAAGGCAAAAUGGGCUGAUCAUAUAUCAGGGCCAUCAUCAUGACACAUACUCAGGAUUAGCGUUUAAAGGAAAGUUUUUGGCCAUCAGCCCUUCGUGGACAUGGAUACACACUUAAAUAUUAAUCUCUGUUUUCAAUAGCAAUGUGUGCUUGGCAGCUCUGGGAGUGUCAUAUUUGCAGAACAAAGACUUAAGCCUGGUGACAGAUGAGCGUACACCAUGCACUGAUCAAUUGUCAGCACCUCCAAGUAUAUUUAGGGAUAGUUAGCAAGCAGGAAACAAUAUCCUUGCAUUGUAAUUGCAUGUUGCACAUUUCUGGACCACAGCACUCUUGGGAAGGGAAGGCUUAUGUUGAACUAGGGACUCAUAAUUGGACCUACUUGCAGUAUCAGCAUCAAUAUUUCCCAUUAUCUGAAUCUCUGUACACUC
Long non-coding RNA from Rhineura floridana, 790 nucleotides. RefSeq lists it as uncharacterized. The record is from RefSeq and is a predicted model, not a curated record. The transcript is spliced from 3 exons. NCBI's taxonomy places the organism in Eukaryota, Metazoa, Chordata, Lepidosauria, Squamata, Rhineuridae.